RNAcentral lists this ribosomal RNA (492 nucleotides) under uncultured bacterium. RNAcentral describes it as "partial 16S ribosomal RNA". It matches the Rfam family "Bacterial small subunit ribosomal RNA", at positions 29 to 507 of the family's 1533-position model. The record is from RNAcentral.
AGUGAACGCUGGCGGUAGGCCUAACACAUGCAAGUCGAACGGCAGCACAGUAAGAGCUUGCUCUUACGGGUGGCGAGUGGCGGACGGGUGAGGAAUACAUCGGAAUCUACUUUUUCGUGGGGGAUAACGUAGGGAAACUUACGCUAAUACCGCAUACGACCUACGGGUGAAAGCAGGGGAUCUUCGGACCUUGCGCGAUUGAAUGAGCCGAUGUCGGAUUAGCUAGUUGGCGGGGUAAAGGCCCACCCAGGCGACGAUCCGUAGCUGGUCUGAGAGGAUGGUCAGCCACACUGGAAGUGAGACACGGUCCAGACUACUACGGGAGGCAGCAGUGGGGAAUAGUGGACAAUGGGCGCAAGCCUGAUCCAGCCAUACCGCGUGGGUGAAGAAGGCCUUCGGGUUGUAAAGCCCUUUUGUUGGGAAAGAAAAGCAGCAGGUUAAUACCCCGCUGUUCUGACGGUACCCAAAGAAGAAGCACCGGCUAACUUCGUG